CUUGUUCCUCAUUCAUAAGUUGACUUGCCAACAAGAGAGUCAGGGAGUGAGAAGCAAAACUCACUUGUCUUUUAAUAGUCCCAUAUGUCCAAUGCGUAAAGCCAGUGGAGAAUGGAGGUUGAUGGUAGACUACCAUGGCCUGGCCUGAAUGAAGUCACACCCAAACUGAGUACUGCUGUGCUGGACAUGCUAGAACUCCAGUAUGAAUUGGAGUCAACAGCAGCCAAGUGGUAUGCCACCACUGACAUUGCUAAUGCCUUCUUCUUCAUUCCUUUGGCCACAGAAUGCAGGCCACAAUUUGCCUUCACCUGGAGGGGUAUUCAGUAUACCUGGAAUUGCUUGCCCCAGGGGUGAAAACACAGCCCAACAAUUUGUCAUGGGUUGAUCCAAGCUGUACUGGAACAGGGUGAUGCUCCUGAGCACUUACAGUAUAUUGAUGACAUUUUGUGGAACAACACAGCAGGGGAAGUUUUUUUUAAGAAAGGUGUUGUAGUAGGCGUCUUGCGGGGGCACGGGAUGUACGGGACAGGCCUCUCCCUAAACAUAGAGAGACAGUGCUAUCGUGCUGACCUUGUUGCAGAGAAAACAGGAGAAGAAGAAGGAUGAUAAAAGAAUGUGGAAACGGCCAAAUAAGGCACAAUGUUAUCUGGUGUGAACCAAUCAGAGUGGGACAUGACAGCACGGUUAUCUAGGUAAAAAUGUAUAUAAGCUGUGUUUAGUAGUGAAUAAACGCCAUUUUGCCUCACUUACUUCUGGGGUCUGCGUGAGCAUCUGGCCCCGACCUGGUAAAGGGUCGGUUUCGCCCAGCAGUAAGCCCUACACGUGGACAGAGGACGAACACCGGACGAGCAAACAGAGACUACACGCAACAAGUGGUGACCCCGACGUGAUCUGUCUGCUGAGGGUGGCUGCCCGGCGUGCCCGUGACGCGGAGAAGAGCCUGUGAGGUGGCGGCAGGUCGUGCACGGAAGACGUACUGCGGUUAAGAGCCUGCGAGGUGGCGGCAGGUCGCAUGCGUAACAAUGGACCAAGUCAUUAAGGUGGGACUUGCUCACCUCGGUGCUAUGCCAGCGCGCCAUGGCCAGUCAGAAGGCUACGGAACUUAAAACGUGGGGACUGAUAUUAGGAGCCCUUAAAGCGGCCAGAGUUGAGGGAAAGGUAUUGGUGGAGGCUCGAUACCUUUUGGGUCUCAGCGGAGGAGGUGAGACACAGGACCCGGUCGGGUCCGAUGGGGGUUCGGGAGCAGUUUCUUGCAGGGGCCGAGAGGAGACGGAGCCGCCAAUGACCGUUGGUGGGAUGGCGCCGGCUGAGCCGACCGUGCUCAGUUCAAAAGAAGACAAACAACAAGAGAGUGAAAGUUCGUUGUCUCGUCCCCCUCCCCCGUAUCCACACCCCUCAGGCGGAACGUUGUAUCCUUUAUCAGAAUGACGUCAGUGUUACCUGACUCAAGGGGGCGGAGGAAGCUGUGAUCUACACGGGCAGGAUCAACUUAGUGCCCACAUGGGGAGGGACCAGACAAAAGGUCCGUCCAAUGCGGACAGGGAGCAUAGCCUACUGUCUCUGGUCACUCCCAGGGGCGGUAGUGCGAGUGAUAGUGUAGAAGAGAAAGAAGGGACUGGCUUUGAGUGCAGGGGGAGGGAUCAAAUGACGGACUGGAAUGGGAUUAGAUCGGAGGCUUUGGGAAAGGGUAUAGUUCCAGAGGCAUUCCGGGUGAUUGUGAGUGAUCGUGGUCCCGAAUGGGUGCCGCCUGACCCCGGGGGUGUUACGCGCCUGGUGGAAUUUAUGGAUAAAAGAGGCCUGAAAUCGCCUCUGACAUUAAAUGCACUACAAACUUUGGCUGCACUGGGGCCUCUCUUCCCCCGUGACAUCACAAACUUAAUGCGUACGGUGCUCAGGCUGGUUCAAUAUACGUUAUGGGAGAUGGACUGGGUGGCCGAGUUGGGGGGCCGUGCCGGGGCGACAGGGGUCGGCCCGCGCCGCUCCCUGCAUGGGACCGGAAUACAGCGGCUUUCAGGGAAGGCCGUGGGAGUGGCUUCGCCCCAGGGCCAGCUAGCGAGACUAAGGCCAGGGGAGCUAAUAGCAGCCACAGGUGCAGUGGUGGAAGCGUUUAAUAAACUUGUGCAUAAGGCCGAACCACCUACUCCGUGCACAGAUAUUACCCAGGGCCCGAAUGAAUCCUUUCAAAGCUUUACAGACAGGCUUUUAGCUGCUGCAGAGGGGUCUGAUCUCCUGGUACCGGCCCAAGGGCCAGUGAUCAUUGACUGCUUGCAGCAGAAAUCGCAUGACAAUGUUAAGGCAUUGCUGCGAGCCGGCCGAAGUACGCUUAAUACCUCGGGAGCCGGCCGAAGUACGCUUAAUACCUCCGGAGAAGUUAUUCAGUAUGUCUUAGAUAAGCUCAAGGUGGCUCAUUUAACUAAUGAAAGGCUAGUCACAGCUAUUGUCGUAGCUGUUGGCCUGCGACAGCAAAGAUCGCUGCAGCAUCAAGGGCUGUGUUUCCGAUACGGCCAGUAUGGCCAUGUUAGAGCACAAUGCCCCUGUGGGGGAGGCCAGUCAGGGCCUCCUGAUCACAGGAAGGGAUUGCUAAAGGGUAUCCGUGGUCGGGUAUGCAGCAGUUAAAUAUCAUGAAUCUGGGAAAUUCUGUGGGUACCAUCGCGAAAAGUAAUACCAGAUAUAAGUAGCAUAUCUGCAAAAACUGAGUCUAGGUGCGAGUUUUCUACAGAAAUUCUUCGUUGGCAGACCGAAGCCAACUCCAGAACAACUGAGGGACAGACGAUGGGAUCAAGAACCACUCGUCAAGAGGAGCACUACACCUGCAACGCUGACACUUCCGAUGUUGCUGAUAUUUAUGGUGUCCAUGGCGAUUACAGAGUGUCACAAACAACUACAAUGGACACAAGAACAUAUGCAGAAAAUUAAAGAAGAGCGUGAUCCCUUUGGAAGCUGGCUGGACGGACUGUUUGGGGGAACGGGUUCAUGGUUAAAGCAAUUGCUUAAAGCUCUCGCAGUAGGAUUUGUAAUCUUUGUGUGUAUUCUAAUCUGUCUUCCAUGCUUUGUAGGAUGCUUGCAGAACUGCCUUCAACGAAUGAUGGACAAGACUUUUGACUAUCACAUUGAGUAUCAUAGAUUGCGUGAAAAAUUAUAGAGGGGUUUAGGUUGUUGCGUUCGUGCUGUAACGGGGCAAGGCUUGGCCGAGCACGGAAAAGAAUUCCCUGUUGCUCUGAUGAUUGCUUAAGAACUGUAGUAGAAAAUAGUAGGAAUAGUGUGCUGAAAUAUAUUUAGGAUUAGGCGUUUUGCGCUGCUUCGCGAUGUACGGGUUAGGUGUGUGUGUAAGUAGUAUUUAGCUUAGGAAGGGGGAGAUGUUGUAGUAGGCGUCUUGCGGGGGCACGGGAUGUACGGGACAGGCCUCUCCCUAAACAUAGAGAGACAGUGCUAUCGUGCUGACCUUGUUGCAGAGAAAACAGGAGAAGAAGAAGGAUGAUAAAAGAAUGUGGAAACGGCCAAAUAAGGCACAAUGUUAUCUGGUGUGAACCAAUCAGAGUGGGACAUGACAGCACGGUUAUCUAGGUAAAAAUGUAUAUAAGCUGUGUUUAGAAGUGAAUAAACGCCAUUUUGCCUCACUUACUUCUGGGGUCUGCGUGAGCAUCUGGCCCCGACCUGGUAAAGGGUCGGUUUCGCCCAGCAGUAAGCCCUACACGUGGACAGAGGACGAACACCGGACGAGCGAACGGAGACUACACGCAACAAAAGGAAAGCAAAUAAUCCAGAUCCUUCUGUGUGCUGGUUUUGCUAUUUAGUGAAGCAAAAUGAAAGGACCUGCCCAGGAUCAAUUCCUAGGUAUAAAGUGGCAAGAUGGACGUCAUCACAUCCCGACAGAUGUGAUCAAGAAAAUCACUGCCAUGUCUUCACCCACUAAUAAGAAAGAGUCACAAUCUUUUCUGGGUGUAGUGGGCUUUUGGAGAAUGCAUGUUCCAAACCACAGCCUCUUUGAAAGACCCCUUUAUCUCGUG
Long non-coding RNA from Gallus gallus (chicken), 4007 nucleotides. The record is from Ensembl. NCBI's taxonomy places the organism in Eukaryota, Metazoa, Chordata, Aves, Galliformes, Phasianidae.